AAAGAUUCUGGAGAAGACAAAAUAACCCACAGAAAAGAAGUAUGGAAGGCAGGGGUAGCAAGGCGGAGCUGUGACCUGUCACAGCACGCAGAGAAUGCCCAUGGAUUUUCACAAAUGCUGGUAAAAUGUGAAAAGCAGGUGUUUCUUUUUUCUUCAAUCUGAGCUUCAAGCUAAUAUGGGCACUCAACUAAAUCCCUCCCGGGUCCUGAAACAGUAUGCGGUUUUGGAUUUCAAAGAUAAUCCCUACAUCUUCUGGGAGAGGUGCAAGUAUCAAACAGUUGGAGACACAAGGAAAGGGUGGUAUAAUGCAGAAAGUGACUUGAACAAAUUUACACAGAAGGCAGUGAAGUGUGAUUCAAAUUCAAGCAGUCUAGACUGUGCCCCACACAACUCUGCAGCAUAACCUUGCAGUAUGAAAAUGAUGCCUCUCAUGCAGAUCAGGGAUAUGAGAUCCAGUGACCUACCCAAAGUUUCAAAGGAAAGAUGUAACAGAGCCAUCUCUGAACUUCUGCUCUUGGGGAUCUACAUGCUCUUUCCACUAGUUCUGACAUUAGCAGGUGUUUGACCCAGGACUUGCCCAACUUGGUUUCCAUUUGUAUAGAACUAAUGCCAAAUUUCAAAAGAAAAUAUUACAUACCAUAAUCAAUAAAAACAAAAUAUCAAACAU
RNAcentral lists this long non-coding RNA (667 nucleotides) under Pongo abelii (Sumatran orangutan). RNAcentral describes it as "lincRNA". The record is from RNAcentral. Lineage: Eukaryota; Metazoa; Chordata; Mammalia; Primates; Hominidae.